This 447-nucleotide ribosomal RNA is filed under the name uncultured bacterium. RNAcentral describes it as "partial 16S ribosomal RNA". It matches the Rfam family "Bacterial small subunit ribosomal RNA", at positions 29 to 523 of the family's 1533-position model. The record is from RNAcentral.
AACGAACGCUGGCGGCAGGCCUAACACAUGCAAGUCGAACGCCCAGCAAUGGGAGUGGCGCACGGGUGAGUAACGCGUGGGAAUGUACCCUUUAGUACGGAAUAACCUCGGGAAACUGGGAUUAAUACCGUAUACGCCCUUCGGGGGAAAGAUUUAUCGCUAAAGGAUCAGCCCGCGUGAGAUUAGAUAGUUGGUGGGGUAAUGGCCUACCAAGUCUACGAUCUCUAGCUGGUCUGAGAGGACGACCAGGCACACUGGAACCGAGACACGGUCCAGACUCCUACGGGAGGCAGCAGUGGGGAAUAUUGGACAAUGGGCGAAAGCCUGAUCCAGCCAUGCCGCGUGAGUGAUGAAGGCCUUAGGGUUGUAAAGCUCUUUCGGUGGUGACGAUAAUGACGGUAACCACAUAAGGAGCCCCGGCUAACUUCGUGCCAGCCGCCGCCGUAA